RNAcentral lists this long non-coding RNA (380 nucleotides) under Mustela putorius furo (domestic ferret). Its description in RNAcentral is "lncRNA (ENSMPUG00000030019.1)". The record is from RNAcentral. Lineage: Eukaryota; Metazoa; Chordata; Mammalia; Carnivora; Mustelidae.
UAUAGGAAGGAGCAAGGGCUAACGGUCUGGAACGGGCAGCGAGGAGGAGGACCCGCCCGUCCCCACUUCCGAGCGUGUGGAAGGGCCAGCAGCCAUCGCUGGGGAAGACUGUGCAGAAGCUGUGUCCUCAGGAGGGUGUGAGCAUCUCUCAAGAACCUCAGCGAGAAUAAAAAAGUGGUUCCAUUUCCUGGUAAGAGAGUGAAUUAUCGAUGAUCAUUUGCGGGGGCACGUGUGACACAUGCAGGUGGCUGUUCUGGCUCACUUUGUCCAUUUGUGAGUUUCCCCAUUGAAGAAGUCCCACGUGGGUUACUUUGUGCAUCACCUGAGCCUGGGCACCCACCGGCCCUUCCGUCAACUGGCCGCCUCCCACUGGUAUUACG